GUCCUAGCCGUAAACGGUGCGCAUUUGCUGUAAAAGGAAUCGACCCCUUUUGUGGCGAAGCUAACGCGUUAAAUGCGCCGCCUGGGAAGUACGGUCGCAAGAUUAAAACUCAAAGAAAUUGACGGGGGCCUGCACAAGCGGUGGAGUAUGUGGCUUAAUUCGAUGCAACGCGAAGAACCUUACCUGGCCUUGACAUGUACGUAGUAGAAGGGUGAAAGCCCGACGAGGUAGCAAUACCAGCGUACACAGGUGCUGCAUGGCUGUCGU
RNAcentral lists this ribosomal RNA (267 nucleotides) under uncultured bacterium. RNAcentral's name for it is "partial 16S ribosomal RNA". It matches the Rfam family "Bacterial small subunit ribosomal RNA", at positions 793 to 1055 of the family's 1533-position model. The record is from RNAcentral.